RNAcentral lists this long non-coding RNA (295 nucleotides) under Zostera marina. Its description in RNAcentral is "long non-coding RNA (ZMAR_LNC001410)". The record is from RNAcentral. Lineage: Eukaryota; Viridiplantae; Streptophyta; Magnoliopsida; Alismatales; Zosteraceae.
CCUGUAACCCAUUCACAUCUUCCUCUUUUUCUUCAACAACCAUUCAUCGCCGUCGGUAUGUGACUCUAUGUCUUUUUCUUUUCCGUUUUUUGUUUUGUUUUUUCAUCUAUUACCAUCUAUAUCAUCACUCGUUGUUCCUUAAUACCAUCUCGUUAGUUUUAAUAUUAUGUCUACUUGUAGCCCCUUCUUACCAUCUCGUAACCCUUUAAUCUAUACACUUGUUCCUCAUGACGAUAUUGUAAAUCUACUCAAAUUAUAUACUUGUUGUCUCGUUGUUCCUUAAUACAUUCUUUUA